Molecule: non-coding RNA, 73 nt
Organism: Ciona savignyi (Pacific transparent sea squirt)
Lineage: Eukaryota; Metazoa; Chordata; Ascidiacea; Phlebobranchia; Cionidae
Source: Rfam
GCCCGGCUAGCUCAGUCGGUAGAGCCUUGCACUCUUAAUCCAACGGUCGUGGGUUCGAGCCCCACGUUGGGCG